This 253-nucleotide ribosomal RNA is filed under the name uncultured bacterium. RNAcentral describes it as "partial 16S ribosomal RNA". It matches the Rfam family "Bacterial small subunit ribosomal RNA", at positions 524 to 776 of the family's 1533-position model. The record is from RNAcentral.
UACGUAGGGCGCAAGCGUUGUCCGGAUUUAUUGGGCGUAAAGAGCUCGUAGGCGGUCUGUCGCGUCGGCUGUGAAACCCCGAGGCUCAACCUCGGGCCUGCAGUCGAUACGGGCAGACUAGAGUGCGGUAGGGGAGACUGGAAUUCCUGGUGUAGCGGUGAAAUGCGCAGAUAUCAGGAGGAACACCGGUGGCGAAGGCGGGUCUCUGGGCCGUAACUGACGCUGAGGAGCGAAAGCGUGGGGAGCGAACAGG